Homarus americanus (American lobster) is the source of this 134-nucleotide long non-coding RNA. RefSeq lists it as uncharacterized. The transcript is spliced from 3 exons. The record is from RefSeq and is a predicted model, not a curated record. NCBI's taxonomy places the organism in Eukaryota, Metazoa, Arthropoda, Malacostraca, Decapoda, Nephropidae.
CCGAAUGAAUAUCUGUCCCUGUGAAGUAAAUCCAGUUGGUUGACGUGGUGGAGGUUUUGGUUGAUGUGGUGAAGGUUUUGCUUGACGUGGUGGAGGUUUUGGUUGACGUGGUGAAGGUUUUGGUUGAUGUGGUG